CGGGCCCGCACAAGCGGUGAGUAUGUGGUUUAAUUCGAUGCAACGCGAAGAACCUUACCUGGUCUUGACAUCCCGGAGACCCUUAGGAAACUAGGGGGUGCUUCCAUCUGGAAGAAUCUGGAGACAGGUGCUGCAUGGCUGUCGUCAGCUCGUGUCGUGAGAUGUUGGGUUAAGUCCCGCAACGAGCGCAACCCUUGCCUUUAGUUGCCAGCAGUUCGGCUGGGCACUCUAAAGGGACUGCCGGUGUUAAACCGGAGGAAGGUGGGGAUGACGUCAAGUCCUCAUGGCCUUUAUGACCAGGGCUACACACGUACUACAAUGGCCGAUACAAAGGGCAGCGACACUGCGAGGUGAAGCCAAUCCCGUAAAAUCGGUCUCAGUCCGGAUUGGAGUCUGCAACUCGACUCCAUGAAGUUGGAAUCGCUAGUAAUCGUGGAUCAGCAUGCCACGGUGAAUACGUUCCCGGGCCUU
Molecule: ribosomal RNA, 471 nt
Filed under: uncultured Desulfobulbus sp.
Lineage: Bacteria; Pseudomonadati; Thermodesulfobacteriota; Desulfobulbia; Desulfobulbales; Desulfobulbaceae
Description: bacterial SSU rRNA
Rfam family: Bacterial small subunit ribosomal RNA
Source: RNAcentral